This is a long non-coding RNA of Felis catus (domestic cat), 719 nucleotides long. RefSeq lists it as uncharacterized. Lineage: Eukaryota; Metazoa; Chordata; Mammalia; Carnivora; Felidae. The record is from RefSeq and is a predicted model, not a curated record. The transcript has 3 exons.
AGAAGCUCCAAGACUGUGUGCCAACAUCAAUCUGGACACAGUUGCCUGUCAUUACUCCCUCUGGCAUGGUCACAAAAUGAGAUUUUACAUGCAAUUAAAGAUCAAGCCACUCUGAUGUAUUGUAGGUCAGCCUUGACAACUGUCACAUGUGGCAUGAACACUGAGGGGCUGCCUGGUGUCCCUGUGAAUCAAAGCAGCAGGAAUGUUGGAAUCCAGCAGUGCUGGUGCAUGCUGAUGGGCACUUCCUUCCCAUUUUGCGUUCUUUUCACAGUCAAUAUAAAUCAAUCUGAUGGCCUCCAGUGACUUUCCUCAGUGCAACUCCAAACUUAGUGGGAUAGACGCGCAAGGAUAGAAAAAGCUACCAAAGAAAAGCAUUUUGGACCUCUUGGAUGGAAAAGGGAGGAAGGAGAGGAAGACAACCUGAAUCAAAUGAGCCCCCUACUGGGGUCACACAUGAAGUUUCAGAUUAAGUAGAGCAAAUGAGGAAGUCUUAAUGAAUAGGUAAGGGUCACCUUCUUUCAUGUUUCUUGUUCUUUUUGGAGGAGUUCUAUCUUUACAAAGAAUUAAACAAGGCAACGUCUUAUGGACAGGAGAACAUACAUACAAGGAAGAGUAAAAAUCAUUUGUAACUUCAUUUCCCAACAGCAGCCACCAUUAACAUUUUAAUUACAGGGUUUCUCCUAGGCAUUCUGGUUGGCCCUGGAGCUCAAAGUAAGAGA